GUCAGGUGGGGCUACCCGCUGAGUUUAAGCAUAUAAAUAAGCGGAGGAGAAGAAACUUACGAGGAUUCCCUUAGUAACGGCGAGCGAACCGGGAUCAGCCCAGCUUGAGAAUCGGGCGGCUGCGUCGUCUGAAUUGUAGUCUGGAGAAGCGUCCUCAGCGACGGACCGGGCCCAAGUCCCCUGGAAAGGGGCGCCGGGGAGGGUGAGAGCCCCGUCCG
RNAcentral lists this ribosomal RNA (218 nucleotides) under Musa ornata. RNAcentral's name for it is "partial 26S ribosomal RNA". It matches the Rfam family "Eukaryotic large subunit ribosomal RNA", at positions 11 to 227 of the family's 3401-position model. The record is from RNAcentral. Lineage: Eukaryota; Viridiplantae; Streptophyta; Magnoliopsida; Zingiberales; Musaceae.